UACGUAGGGGGCGAGCGUUGUCCGGAUUUACUGGGCGUAAAGAGCGCGUAGGCGGAACUUUAAGCGUGGCCUGAAAGCCCCCGGCUCAACCGGGGAGUGCGGCUGCGAACUGGGUUUCUUGAGGACGAUAGAGGAGAGUGGAAUUCCUGGUGUAGCGGUGAAAUGCGUAGAUAUCAGGAGGAACACCCGAGGCGAAGGCGGCUCUCUGGGUCGUACCUGACGCUGAGGCGCGAAAGCGUGGGGAGCGAACGGG
Molecule: ribosomal RNA, 253 nt
Filed under: uncultured bacterium
Lineage: Bacteria
Description: partial 16S ribosomal RNA
Rfam family: Bacterial small subunit ribosomal RNA
Source: RNAcentral